UGUGUGUGUAUGGACUCAGCAGAGUCUGUGUGUGUGUGUGUAUGGACUCAGCAGAGUCUGUGUGUGUGUGUGUAUGGACUCAGCAGUCUCUGUGUGUGUGUGUGUAUGGACUCAGCAGAGUCUGUGUGUGUUUGUGUGUAUGGACUCAGCAGAGUGUGUGUGUGUGUGUGUGGACCUCGUGCAGAGUCUGUGUGUGUGUGUGUAUGGACUCAGCAGUUCUGUGUGUGUGUGUGUAUGGACUCAGCAGAGCCCGUGUGUUUGUGCGGUGGACUCCAGCAGAGUGUGUGUGUGUGUGUGUAUGGACUCAGCAGUCUGUGUGUGUGUAAUGACUCGGGAAGCAGAGUCUGUGUGUGUGUAUGGACCUCAGCAGCCCUGUGCGUGUGUGUGUGUGUAUUGACUCAGCAGUCUGUGUGUGUAUGGACUCAGCAGUCUGUGUCUGUGUGUGUGUGUAUGGACUCAGCAGUCUGUGUGUGUGUGUAUGGACUCAGCAGUCUGUGUGUGUAAUGACUCAGCAGAGUCUGUGUGUGUGUAUGGACUCAGCAGAGUCUGUGUGUGUGUGUAUGGACUCAGCAGAGUCUGUGUGUGUGUUUAUAGACUCAGCAGAGUCUGUGUGUGUGUAUGGACUCAGCAG
Molecule: non-coding RNA, 631 nt
Organism: Pelobates cultripes (western spadefoot toad)
Lineage: Eukaryota; Metazoa; Chordata; Amphibia; Anura; Pelobatidae
Source: the annotation of a GenBank genome assembly